UGGUCAAAUUUUAUUCAGGUUUGAUUCCUUUAUUGAUUGUUGUUUUCCUAACAUAAAGUGAUAAUUAUUGCAUGCAGAUAUAAAAAAAUGAACAAUUAAACAAUAAUCUUACAGAGAGGUUCAGUCUGUUGACCAGGAUGAAAACAGGAAUUUCAACUGCAAUUGGGUAAAUAGCAUAGCAAGAGCAGACUUUCUUGCAACAGCUCCUCUAUUGACUUUAGUUGUUUUAAGGAUUCUGUAACAUAACAUUGCUUUAUUCCUACAUCAGAUUGAUGUAGUAUUCCCUUUCCAACUAGACAUGGUUGCAUAUUAAUACAGCCCAACAGAUGUCACUUUUAAUUAAAAGCAUAGGUUUCAUUUUUUGUAUAGAGUACUUUUCUUUUCUUAAUAAGUAUUAGUUGUUUUGUUGAAUAACAAAUAUUUCCAAAUAUUAAAUAACAUGAGGGUAGCAACCUAACACUACAAUCUAUCUUAAUUUUAAAGAAAUGAAUUUUAAGGAAAACGCCUUGCUCAAACUGAAGUAAUGUUGUGGACACAUUUGGAAUCUUCAUGUAGGCACAAUUUUUUUUAUUUGUUUGAUAGAAGUAUUUGGUAUGUAGUUUUGAAUGCAGAAUUCUAUAAAUAGUAGAUUAUUUUAAUAUUUGUAGCAACUCAAAUGUUAUUCCUUUUCUUCAAUGGUGAUCUAACUUGGGAUUGCCUCCACAUUAAAUUAUGCAAAUGAGUAUUUCAAGGAUCCAUAUUCCAUGUUAAUAUAACAUGUGUUUAAAGAAAACAAUAUCCACAGAAAACCUAAACAGUGACUCGUAAAAUGAUAGACAAUGUCACCUGUAAAAUACAUGAAUAAUACAAACAUUUAAACAACCUGAUGGAAACACUUGAGACAAGUGUAAAU
This 892-nucleotide long non-coding RNA is filed under the name Mytilus galloprovincialis (Mediterranean mussel). Lineage: Eukaryota; Metazoa; Mollusca; Bivalvia; Mytilida; Mytilidae. The record is from RNAcentral.